UUUGAACGGCGAAGAUUUUCACUAUAAAAAAGGCCCAUUUUUCACAGCGAGUUCGGCCAUUACGGCGUUCCACCAAUUUGACGCGCUGGAUGUCGAGUCAUCAUCUUUUAACUCUUUACCCCAACAAGUGGACCCCCCAACGGAAUCUAACGGACGUCAGCUGACCCCACUCCAACUAUUUUUUCACUUCACCUCUAAACCAGAAAACUCUAUAAAUAACGUUUGAAGAUUACCAUGCCUAGGCUUGAAGAGGCAAAGCAUCUUCUAAGCACUCUUCACUUCUUCUCUGAGAUUCUCCUUUGAUCUCAAUACCAAACACCACUAAAAAAAAAGCAUGGCCGGACCUUCUCUUGACACCAUCACUAAUCGUCACCACGCUAAGCCACCCUCCCCCUCUUCCUCCGCCACCACAACAAUCAAGUUCCUCUGUAGCUACGGCGGCAAGAUCAUUCCCCGUUAUCCUGACGGAAAGCUCCGUUAUCAAGGUGGUGACACACGCGNNNN
RNAcentral lists this long non-coding RNA (504 nucleotides) under Ricinus communis (castor bean). Its description in RNAcentral is "long non-coding RNA (RCOM_LNC002507)". Lineage: Eukaryota; Viridiplantae; Streptophyta; Magnoliopsida; Malpighiales; Euphorbiaceae. The record is from RNAcentral.